CGGCAUUCAGUUCUAGUGGGAGACUGGUGAGUCCUCAUCGUAAUCGACUUCAUCCAAAGACAAUAGAAGCAUUGAUGUGUGCCCAAAGUUGGUUGUCAAAUGAAAUGAAAAAAGAUGGAGUUGGCUCAUUCAUUUCAGAUGGAUAUGCAUCAAUUUAUGAAGAAGAUAUUGAUGUUGUUGAUGAAGGUUUGGAGAUGUGAUUUUAUAUCCAAGAAGUUUUGUAACUUUAUACAAGAAUAAGGUAACUUUAUUAGUAUUUAUCUUUAUUUGUUGUGAAAUUAUCAAAAAUUUUUAUGAAUGUUAUUUGUCUUUGUUUGUUGGUAUGGAUUAAACUAAAAAAACCAUGGUUAAACCGAAACCGAAUGGUUUGGUUAUGGUUUUAAAUUUUUAAAACCAAAUGGGUUUUGGUUUGGUUUUGGUUUUAGGAAUUUAAGUUUGGUUUGGUUAUGGUUUUGGCAAAAACCGAAACCGAACCGAACCAU
Molecule: long non-coding RNA, 482 nt
Organism: Diospyros lotus (date-plum)
Lineage: Eukaryota; Viridiplantae; Streptophyta; Magnoliopsida; Ericales; Ebenaceae
Exons: 3
Source: RefSeq, a predicted model, not a curated record